This 459-nucleotide ribosomal RNA is filed under the name uncultured bacterium. Its description in RNAcentral is "partial 16S ribosomal RNA". It matches the Rfam family "Bacterial small subunit ribosomal RNA", at positions 338 to 795 of the family's 1533-position model. The record is from RNAcentral.
CCUACGGGAGGCAGCAGUGAGGAAUAUUGGUCAAUGGACGAGAGUCUGAACCCGCCAAGUAGCGUGAAGGAUGACUGCCUAUGGGUUGUAAACUUCUUUUAUAUGGGAAUAAAACAGGGUAUGCAUACCCUCUUGUCUGUACCAUAUGACUAAGGAUCGGCUAACUCCGUGCCCGCAGCCGCGGUAAUACGGAGGAUCCGAGCGUUAUCCGGAUUUAUUGGGUUUAAAGGGAGCGUAGGUGGAUUGUUAAGUCAGUUGUGAAAGUUUGCGGCUCAACCGUAAAAUUGCAGUUGAAACUGGCAGUCUUGAGUACAGUAGAGGUGGGCGGAAUUCGUGGUGUAGCGGUGAAAUGCUUAGAUAUCACGAAGAACUCCGAGUGCGAAGGCAGCUCACUGGACUGCAACUGACACUGAUGCUCGAAAGUGUGGGUAUCAAACAGGAUUAGAUACCCGUGUAGUC